AUGAGGGAGACGACUACCUGUCAUUGCCACUGCCGCCGGGUCGCGGAUGGAGGCCUCGCCAGGACCCGUCCUCCUUCCCCCAGAGCUUCCCUACCCACCUGGGCAAACAGGGCAUCUGGGACGGGUGACGCUCGAACGUUUCUCAGACAGCCAGGCCUACACAGACAGGCCUGGAGACAUUCAACCCCCACAGGGGAGGACGGGAGGCCCAGGCGGUCUACCUCCUGUCUCCUCGCUCAUUUGCCCAUCGCCAUCUCAGUGGUCUCCCCGGGAAUCCUGCAGGGUCAGCCUCCCCCGGGCAGGUGGGCCCGGCCACCGCUCUCCCGACACCUGGCUUGUUGGCACCAGGGAGGGCCUCGGUGCACGGGGGCCUUAGAGGGAAGUGAGCCCACGAGAAGCAACCCUGGGUCUCAAAGAGGACAUUUGUGGUUUGCAGGAGAAAGGAGGCUAAAUUUUGAGAAGUGGUGGCACAAGGGGAUGGGGACUUGCCAAGCCAGCCACCUGGGCGUUGUACUGUCUUUAUUUUUAAAACCACUAAAGUGCAAGACUUCCUUUUGCACUUUUCUCCACUUUUUUUUUUUUUUUUCUCCUCCUGGGUUUUUGUUUCUUUUUAUAAACAUACUUUCUGGGUUUUCUAAUGGAGUUAUAUGGUCUAGCCAUCCUCACAGACCCUGGCCCCCCUCUCAAACUCCUCUGGGUGGGGAAAGGGAAGGUGGGGAGCGUCAGCCACCUUCUCAGGUCCCCGGCCACCAGCCUGAGUCCCGAAUCUCCCGCCACCGUCGCCGCCACCACCACCGCUGCCACCACCGCCACCACCACCACCACCACACAGUAGCCCACACGGAUAGACAGUUGUCAGACAAGAUUCCUUCAGAUUCCGAGUUGCCUACCGGUUUUUUUUUUUCUUUUUUGAAGACAGCAAUAACCACAGCACAUAUUACUGUAGCUCUUUGUAGUGUUACGUACAUACAUAUCAUAGCUCUAUUCUCUCCCUUUGUUUUGUUUUCGACUUUUUUUUUUUUUUUUUAA
RNAcentral lists this long non-coding RNA (1029 nucleotides) under Canis lupus familiaris (dog). Its description in RNAcentral is "lncRNA (ENSCAFG00030020970.1)". Lineage: Eukaryota; Metazoa; Chordata; Mammalia; Carnivora; Canidae. The record is from RNAcentral.